RNAcentral lists this transfer RNA (72 nucleotides) under Winogradskyella sp. PG-2. RNAcentral describes it as "tRNA-Gly (TCC) (tRNA-Gly-TCC-2-1)". It matches the Rfam family "tRNA". From Rfam's summary of the family: Transfer RNA (tRNA) molecules are approximately 80 nucleotides in length. Their secondary structure includes four short double-helical elements and three loops (D, anti-codon, and T loops). Further hydrogen bonds mediate the characteristic L-shaped molecular structure. tRNAs have two regions of fundamental functional importance: the anti-codon, which is responsible for specific mRNA codon recognition, and the 3' end, to which the tRNAs corresponding amino acid is attached (by aminoacyl-tRNA synthetases). tRNAs cope with the degeneracy of the genetic code in two manners: having more than one tRNA (with a specific anti-codon) for a particular amino acid; and 'wobble' base-pairing, i.e. permitting non-standard base-pairing at the 3rd anti-codon position. The record is from Rfam by way of RNAcentral. Lineage: Bacteria; Pseudomonadati; Bacteroidota; Flavobacteriia; Flavobacteriales; Flavobacteriaceae.
GCAUUUAUGGUGUAAUUGGCAACAUAGUAGAUUUCCAAUCUACAGUUUCGAGUUCAAAUCUCGAUAAAUGCU